CCGCCAGAAGGUUUUUUUGACAGUCAGUUCUUUGCCUGUCCAGCAGAAUGUCGUUGGCUUCUGAGUUACACUGUGAACAUGAUGUACGCUGCGCCUGGUUUUUGCAGGGAAUUAAACGGACUGUAGAUCCAUCGGUCACCUGGUGGGGAAAGCUGAUGGCCCUGAAGACAAACUAAGGAGAUGAGAAGAAUAACAUCUUCUUAGUGAGAUAAUAUGCUCAUGCCUCCUCCCCCAGGAAGCCCCUCGGCAAUGCAGUUGCCUACAGAUCUUCAUUGCUAAGUCUGCUUGCUCUUCUGAGUUCUAACUCAAAAACAGUGUAAUUUGGCUGCUAGACCUCCUAUGGCCUCGUCCCCCACCAUGAUGUCAACGUUUCGAAAGGGACUGGUUGCUAGAAAUAUGUGCGAGCGCCUCUCUGAAUCACCACUCCAUCCAAUUCCCUUCCUUAUCUAACAUAUUGGGGCUGACAUAUUGGAAGUUUGAGAGUUCCUACAUGUGGUCUUAAGGCACCAACACAGAUGCAUGCUGGAUUUACUUAACCUCCCCAUUUCUUCAUAGGCUCCUGCUCCGAGGGCUAAAGGUUAUGUUUUAGGUUUUAAUCACUGUGCUUAAGAGAUCUAUAAAGCAAAACUACCUCUAACCUGUAAAGUCCACUUGCCCAAGGGCAGAUAAACCUGUAAGCCCCACUUGACCGAGGACAGAUACCUUCUUGGAAUGCUGGGGGCCAUUGUUCAUUAAGGCAGCAAAUCGAAGAUUUUCACGACUGUAGACAAGGUUGGUCGCCCCAACUGGACAGGAUGUCCUUGAUCACACAUAGGCAGGAAGUACUUCACGAUGAAUGCUUGCCCCGAAUUGGACAAAGGUGGAAAGUACAUAGCCUUGUGGGUUUUGCCUUUAUAACCACCUGACUAACAUAAUUCACAGUCAUUCUCUGGAAAUCCUGGAUUUGGA
RNAcentral lists this small RNA (948 nucleotides) under Rattus norvegicus (Norway rat). Its description in RNAcentral is "uncharacterized LOC103692348". Lineage: Eukaryota; Metazoa; Chordata; Mammalia; Rodentia; Muridae. The record is from RNAcentral.